RNAcentral lists this ribosomal RNA (219 nucleotides) under uncultured bacterium. RNAcentral's name for it is "partial 16S ribosomal RNA". It matches the Rfam family "Bacterial small subunit ribosomal RNA", at positions 355 to 569 of the family's 1533-position model. The record is from RNAcentral.
UCGAGAAUCUUCGGCAAUGGGCGCAAGCCUGACCGAGCGACGCCGCGUGCGGGAUGAAGGCCUUCGGGUUGUAAACCGCUGUCAGAGGUGAGGAAAUGCGUGGUAGUUAUCUUCCAUGUUUGACCUAUCCUCAGAGGAAUUACGGGCUAAGUUCGUGCCAGCAGCCGCGGUAAUACGAACCGUACUAUCGUUAUUCGGUUUCACUGGGCUUAAAGCGUG